ACGGCUCAGUAACACGUGGACAACCUACCCUAUGGAGGGGGAUAACCCCGGGAAACUGGGGAUAAUACCCCAUAGACUAUGAAUGCUGGAAUGCUUUGUAGUUGAAAGGUCCGCCGCCAUAGGAUGGGUCUGCGGCCGAUUAGGUUGUUGUUGGGGUAACGGCCCAACAAGCCUGUAAUCGGUACGGGUUGUGGGAGCAAGAGCCCGGAGAUGGAUUCUGAGACACGAAUCCAGGCCCUACGGGGCGCAGCAGGCGCGAAAACUUUACAAUGCGGGAAACCGUGAUAAGGGAACUCCGAGUGCCCGUAAAAUCGGGCUGUCCAUCUGUUUAAAUAACAGGUGAAGAAAGGGCCGGGCAAGACCGGUGCCAGCCGCCGCGGUAAUACCGGCGGCUCGAGUGGUGGCCACUAUUACUGGGCUUAAAGCGUUCGUAGCUGGUCUGUUAAGUCUCUGGGGAAAUCUACUGGCUUAACCAAUAGGCGUUUCAGGGAUACUGGCAGACUAGGGACCGGGAGAGGUGAGGGGUACUCCAGGGGUAGGAGUGAAAUCCUGUAAUCCUUGGGGGACCACCUGUGGCGAAGGCGCCUCACCAGAACGGCUCCGACAGUGAGGGACGAAAGCUGGGGGAGCAAACCGGAUUAGAUACCCGGGUAGUCCCAGCCGUAAACGAUGCGCGUUAGGUGUAUCGGUGACCACGAGUCACCGAGGUGCCGAAGAGAAAUCGUGAAACGUGCCGCCUGGGAAGUACGGUCGCAAGGCUGAAACUUAAAGGAAUUGGCGGGGGAGCAC
This 789-nucleotide ribosomal RNA is filed under the name uncultured archaeon. RNAcentral's name for it is "bacterial SSU rRNA". It matches the Rfam family "Archaeal small subunit ribosomal RNA", at positions 85 to 879 of the family's 1478-position model. The record is from RNAcentral.